Molecule: ribosomal RNA, 258 nt
Filed under: uncultured bacterium
Lineage: Bacteria
Description: partial 16S ribosomal RNA
Rfam family: Bacterial small subunit ribosomal RNA
Source: RNAcentral
GGAGGAUGCGAGCGUUAUCCGGAUUUAUUGGGUUUAAAGGGAGCGCAGGCUGCGAGGCAAGUCAGCGGUCAAAUGUCGGGGCUCAACCCCGGCCUGCCGUUGAAACUGUUUUGCUAGAGUUCGAGUGAGGUAUGCGGAAUGCGUUGUGUAGCGGUGAAAUGCAUAGAUAUGACGCAGAACUCCGAUUGCGAAGGCAGCAUACCAACUCGCGACUGACGCUGAGGCUCGAAAGCGUGGGUAUCGAACAGGAUUAGAUAC